ACAUUUCAAAACCUUACCCUCUCCUCUAGGCUUGCCGCGAUUGACGGUGUUGACGGUGAUACCGGUGUUAAGCCGCAACACCGGUUACGUCACUUGCCCACCGCGUCACCGACCCCCA
Molecule: long non-coding RNA, 118 nt
Organism: Sinocyclocheilus rhinocerous
Lineage: Eukaryota; Metazoa; Chordata; Actinopteri; Cypriniformes; Cyprinidae
Exons: 3
Source: RefSeq, a predicted model, not a curated record